CGAGGGGCAGCAUGGUCUUAGCUUGCUAAGGCCGAUGGCGACCGGCGCACGGGUGAGUAACACGUAUCCAACCUGCCGUCUACUCUUGGACAGCCUUCUGAAAGGAAGAUUAAUACAAGAUGGCAUCAUGAGUCCGCAUGUUCACAUGAUUAAAGGUAUUCCGGUAGACGAUGGGGAUGCGUUCCAUUAGAUAGUAGGCGGGGUAACGGCCCACCUAGUCUUCGAUGGAUAGGGGUUCUGAGAGGAAGGUCCCCCACAUUGGAACUGAGACACGGUCCAAACUCCUACGGGAGGCAGCAGUGAGGAAUAUUGGUCAAUGGGCGAGAGCCUGAACCAGCCAAGUAGCGUGAAGGAUGACUGCCCUAUGGGUUGUAAACUUCUUUUAUAAAGGAAUAAAGUCGGGUAUGGAUACCCGUUUGCAUGUACUUUAUGAAUAAGGAUCGGCUAACUCCGUGCCAGCAGCCGCGGUAAUACGGAGGAUCCGAGCGUUAUCCGGAUUUAUUGGGUUUAAAGGGAGCGUAGAUGGAUGUUUAAGUCAGUUGUGAAAGUUUGCGGCUCAACCGUAAAAUUGCAGUUGAUACUGGAUAUCUUGAGUGCAGUUGAGGCAGGCGGAAUUCGUGGUGUAGCGGUGAAAUGCUUAGAUAUCACGAAGAACUCCGAUUGCGAAGGCAGCCUGCUAAGCUGCAACUGACAUUGAGGCUCGAAAGUGUGGGUAUCAAACAGGAUUAGAUACCCUGGUAGUCCACACGGUAAACGAUGAAUACUCGCUGUUUGCGAUAUACUGCAAGCGGCCAAGCGAAAGCGUUAAGUAUUCCACCUGGGGAGUACGCCGGCAACGGUGAAACUCAAAGGAAUUGACGGGGGCCCGCACAAGCGGAGGAACAUGUGGUUUAAUUCGAUGAUACGCGAGGAACCUUACCCGGGCUUAAAUUGCAGAUGAAUUACGGUGAAAGCCGUAAGCCGCAAGGCAUCU
This 973-nucleotide ribosomal RNA is filed under the name Phocaeicola vulgatus. RNAcentral's name for it is "bacterial SSU rRNA". It matches the Rfam family "Bacterial small subunit ribosomal RNA", at positions 63 to 1031 of the family's 1533-position model. The record is from RNAcentral. Lineage: Bacteria; Pseudomonadati; Bacteroidota; Bacteroidia; Bacteroidales; Bacteroidaceae.